Molecule: non-coding RNA, 31 nt
Filed under: Mus musculus (house mouse)
Lineage: Eukaryota; Metazoa; Chordata; Mammalia; Rodentia; Muridae
Source: RNAcentral
UACUGCUCACCAUAGAAAAGAGAAAGUGCUA